UGCUAGGGAGUUGUAGGGUGAACUCCAGGUGAGUGGGCAGUUUUGUUUUCCGUAUAUAUAUAUACUUGACGUUUUCCCAGAAAUUGAAAUUUAAUGAAAGUAUGCUUUAAAUGCAAUGUAUAAAAUUAUAUGAAAAGUAUAUUGAAAUGUGAAUUGAGAUGCCAUGCAUAAAAGUAUAUGCAAAGUAUAUAGAAAUGUGAAUCGAAUUGCCAUGCAUGAAAUGAUAUGAAAAGUAUGAAUUGAGAUAUGAUGCAUAUGAAUGAAUGGUGCGGCGGAUGCACAUGUGAGUAUCAGGUGAGUAUUUAAAUACUGUUAUGAUGAUGUUGAUAUAUAUUGAGCUCAAAUCCUGCACCAUGGUUUAGUGCUUAUAGUAUUCACCGCAUCGCACGCUCGCCUUGGAUCCAAGUAGAUGCUGGUCGCACAGUCCACGCGGAGUGGGUGCGACGAGCCAGUCGUAGAGUGUUAGUGAGAUUUCGACUGGUGGGUGACCUUAGAUUAUGUGCACAGAUGAUUGAUGAGAGAAGCACUAGAGCGUAACUUGUGUGCAGAAGGCCGGACAGGUCACAGAGGUGACUCCGGCAGAGUGAGAGUGAUAGAUUUUGAGCUCUAGGUUCAACCGUACAGGGCUAUUAGAGGGCCUCCGGUUGAUUACUUUCUUGCACCUGAUAUGAUUAUUGUUGAUGCAUCCAUACUUAACUGUUGAAUUAGACAUGGCAUGGCAUGAUUGAUAAAGAAAAAUGUUGAGAUAGUAAAAAUGAAGUUUGAGAAUAUAUAUGUAUAUUUAUAUUUUACAUUUCUGGGAAAGUAUACAGGUUUUACGGAGAGGGGUUACAACGUUUUGAGAAAUGUUUGGAUUUGGAAAAGAAUUGUUUUACUGACCCACUCAAUUUUGGUUUUGCGCCCCUCCAGGUUCAGGAAUCACAAAGGUGUGGUGACUAUGAGGAAUUCGACGGUGUUCUGACAGAUUGGACAAAAUUAGGACUCACCUUCGGGUGUAUCAACUUAUAAAUUGUAUCUUAAAGCUUCCGUACUGUGCAAAUGGUUACGUCACUCUCAAGUGACGGCCAGCAUGCCCUCCUUCGGGACGGGGUGUGUCACUCCCACUAUUUGUUUUAAGAAAAACAAAUCAAUAUAAAAAAAACGAAUUUUUCAAAUAUUGGAAGUAACUACUACUACUACGGUUUUUGCAUUCCUUUGAAAUUGAACUUUAUAGUUAUCUUAGGCUCUUGGAUGACCAUGGACUUAUUAGGUUAUUGCAACAACGAGCCAACAUUGUUGAAUAUAAACUCGGGGAGGUUGUGUCAAUUUAAUUACGUGCUUAUCAAUCCAAUUAAAACCAUUUUCAUUGAGCCAUUAGAAAUGAAAGACAAUCAUCCAUUGCUAAUUUGGGCAUUGGACCCUUUUAAUCUUUAAUCUCAUGUCAAAACCCUCUUUUAAUUAUGUCUCCUUACCAAUAGUUAAAGAAACUCUAGUCUAGCACUAGAGGGAACAACUAACGAAUAGAGAUUAAGAAGUAAUAAGAAUUACAAACCGAUUUGUACAAAUUCCUAUAAAUUACAUGUACUAAAAGGGGAGAGAUAGAUUAACGUCAAACGUGACAAGGUCCAAUUAAACAGUAAUUAAAACACAUUCCC
This 1634-nucleotide long non-coding RNA is filed under the name Malus domestica (apple). Its description in RNAcentral is "long non-coding RNA (MDOM_LNC019178)". Lineage: Eukaryota; Viridiplantae; Streptophyta; Magnoliopsida; Rosales; Rosaceae. The record is from RNAcentral.